UACGAAGGGGGCUAGCGUUGCUCGGAAUCACUGGGCGUAAAGCGCACGUAGGCGGAUUGUUAAGUCAGGGGUGAAAUCCUGGAGCUCAACUCCAGAACUGCCUUUGAUACUGGCGAUCUUGAGUUCGGGAGAGGUGAGUGGAACUGCGAGUGUAGAGGUGAAAUUCGUAGAUAUUCGCAAGAACACCAGUGGCGAAGGCGGCUCACUGGCCCGAUACUGACGCUGAGGUGACGAAGCGUGGGGAGCAAACAGG
This 253-nucleotide ribosomal RNA is filed under the name uncultured bacterium. Its description in RNAcentral is "partial 16S ribosomal RNA". It matches the Rfam family "Bacterial small subunit ribosomal RNA", at positions 524 to 776 of the family's 1533-position model. The record is from RNAcentral.